GAUGAACGCUAGCUACAGGCUUAACACAUGCAAGUCGAGGGGUAACGAGAGGAAAGCUUGCUUUCCUUGUCGACGACCGGCGCACGGGUGAGUAACGCGUAUCCAACCUGCCCCCAACUAGGGAAUAACCUUGCGAAAGUAAGACUAAUACCCUAUAAUUUCCUCAGAUGUCAUCUGACGAGGAAUAAAGAUUUAUCGGUUGUGGAUGGGGAUGCGUCUGAUUAGCUUGUUGGCGGGGUAACGGCCCACCAAGGCAACGAUCAGCAGGGGUUCUGAGAGGAAGGUCCCCCACAUUGGAACUGAGACACGGUCCAAACUCCUACGGGAGGCAGCAGUGAGGAAUAUUGGUCAAUGGGCGGAAGCCUGAACCAGCCAAGUAGCGUGCAGGAUGACGGCCCUAUGGGUUGUAAACUGCUUUUAUACAGGAAUAAAGUUAGCCACGUGUGGUUAUUUGUAGGUACUGUAUGAAUAAGGACCGGCUACUUCCGUGCCAGCAGCCGCCGUAA
Molecule: ribosomal RNA, 506 nt
Filed under: uncultured bacterium
Lineage: Bacteria
Description: partial 16S ribosomal RNA
Rfam family: Bacterial small subunit ribosomal RNA
Source: RNAcentral